GUCAUUUCUUCAGUGUAUUGUUACAGGUGAUGAAAAAUGGGUUUUGCAUCACAAGAGAACAUGAAAAAAAACAACGGUUAUUAUGUAAUGAGAGGUCAGUGCCAACACCAAAACCAGAAUUCCAUCCACAAAAAUCCUUGCUACAGGCACUUGGAAGUG
Molecule: long non-coding RNA, 159 nt
Organism: Octopus sinensis (East Asian common octopus)
Lineage: Eukaryota; Metazoa; Mollusca; Cephalopoda; Octopoda; Octopodidae
Exons: 3
Source: RefSeq, a predicted model, not a curated record